Long non-coding RNA from Scomber japonicus (chub mackerel), 171 nucleotides. RefSeq lists it as uncharacterized. The transcript has 3 exons. NCBI's taxonomy places the organism in Eukaryota, Metazoa, Chordata, Actinopteri, Scombriformes, Scombridae. The record is from RefSeq and is a predicted model, not a curated record.
AGGUGCACAUAUAUCAGCAGCUAUUGGAACAAUUGCUGUUCUUCUCCUGGCUAUCAUCAUCGUCGUAGCCUUCCUCUGGAUUAGAAGAAAAAGGACACAACAGUCUGAGCUUGGAGGAAGUACGGACAACAGACCACAGCUAGGAAUGUGUCCAGUUAAUGACAGCUCAUC